Molecule: ribosomal RNA, 643 nt
Filed under: uncultured bacterium
Lineage: Bacteria
Description: bacterial SSU rRNA
Rfam family: Bacterial small subunit ribosomal RNA
Source: RNAcentral
AGAGUUUGAUCCUGGCUCAGGACGAACGCUGGCGGUGUGCUUCACACAUGCAAGUCGAACGAGGUAGCAAUACCUAGUGGCGGACGGGUGAGUAACGCGUGGGAAUCUGCCCUUGGGUAGGGGAUAGCAGGCCGAAAGGCCUAUUAAUACCGUAUAUGCCGUGAGGUAAAAGGAGUAAUCCGCCCGAGGAUGAGCCUGCGUCCGAUUAGCUAGUUGGUGGGGUAAAAGCCUACCAAGGCUACGAUCGGUAGCUGGUCUGAGAGGAUGAUCAGCCACAAUGGGACUGAGACACGGCCCAUACUCCUACGGGAGGCAGCAGUGGGGAAUUUUACGCAAUGGGGGAAACCCUGACGUAGCGACACCGCGUGAGCGAAGAAGCCUUUUGGGGUGUAAAGCUCUGUCAGCAGGAACGAAUAAAUGACGGUACCUGCAGAGGAAGCAUCGGCUAACUACGUGCCAGCAGCCGCGGUAAGACGUAGGAUGCGAGCGUUGUCCGGAUUCAUUGGGCGUAAAGAGUUCGUAGGCGGUUUGUUAAGUCUGAUGUUAAAGAUCAGGGCCCAACCCUGGGAGUGCAUUGGAUACUGGCAGACUUGAGUACAGUAGAGGCGAGUGGAAUUCCCAGUGUAGCGGUGAAAUGCGUAGA